UACGAAGGUGGCAAGCGUUACUCGGAAUUACUAGGCGUAAAGCGCAGGUAGGUGGUUGGAUAAGUCCGUGAUGAAAGCUCCCGGCCUAACCGGGAGAGGUUUAUGGAUACUGUCCGACUCGAGUGUGGGAGAGGUGACUGGAAUUCCUGGUGUAGCGGUGAAAUGCGUAGAUAUCAGGAGGAACACCAACGGCGAAAGCAGGUCACUGGCCCAAUACUGACGCUGAGCUGCGAAAGCUAGGGGAGCAAACAGG
This 253-nucleotide ribosomal RNA is filed under the name uncultured bacterium. RNAcentral's name for it is "partial 16S ribosomal RNA". It matches the Rfam family "Bacterial small subunit ribosomal RNA", at positions 524 to 776 of the family's 1533-position model. The record is from RNAcentral.